This 1280-nucleotide long non-coding RNA is filed under the name Homo sapiens (human). RNAcentral's name for it is "PREDICTED lncRNA (TCONS_00257107)". Lineage: Eukaryota; Metazoa; Chordata; Mammalia; Primates; Hominidae. The record is from RNAcentral.
GGAUGUCUGCUUCGACCUAUUCUUGACCGCAGCACAUCCGUUUUCCUUACAGUAUGUAGUACGCAUUCUACCUUUUCCUACAAUGAAUCCACCAGCAGAAAUUCCUGUACACAUCUUAUCAACAAAGAAUUUGAACCUCAAAGAGUGGCUCAAAGAGGUCAGGAGGCACCUUCAACACUUUUAUUGGAGAUCUCCUUGUCUAGAUCAUCAGAUUCUCACUGUGUUACCUAGGCUGCAGUGCAGUGGUGCGAUCUCAACUCACUGCAACCUCUACCUCCUGGGUUCAAGCAAUUCUCCUGCCUCAGCCUCCCAAGUAGCUGGGAUUACAGGUGAGGAGACUGGUGUUAAGUAACUCGCCCAUCCAUGACCGCAUCAGUGGUUGAAAUGGGAUUGGAAUCUGGUCUUAAUCACUCUUCCAUAAUGCCUCCAUGGCAAGGGUGGCAGAGAGGAAGAAUUAUGCUGAGGAAGUAGAACUGACUAGAAGUCAUGAACAAUGCUUGGUGAUUAGAUUCUAGAAUGGACGAAUAAGGCUCUGCUUUGCUCCCAAGCUUCUGUGUCAGUAAUGGCUUCAUUCAUCUACACAGGGAACAGAGGAUGGAGAGGUGAUGUCUUCAGGCUAGGGCAUGUACAGGGUGACCAAAUCUGACCUUGUAUUGUGCAAACUCAGGACUUUCGUAGAGGAAAGGAGUCACCAUCCAGAGGGAUGCCAGAUAAAAAUGUACAAUGGGACUAAGCCAGGCAAACAGUGGCACAUGUUCACGUUAGACAUGUGGAAUCUGAUAUUUCUGUAAGAAAUACAGAAGAACAUGGGAAAAAUGGCAACAGAGGCCUAAAACUCUGCAGAAAUGGCUGAUCUUAUAAUUUGUGAACUGUUAUUUAUGGUUGUUGGUGGAGCCCAUGGUAGUGAAGGAGAUGGCUCAGGGAGACAACAUUAAAGGCGAUAAGGAGAAAAACUAAUGAUCAAAUUCUAGUGAAUGAAAGGGAAGUAAGGAUAGUAAGUAUAAUAAUAGAGUUUCAAAUUAACAUUUAAUUUUAAAAUUAAUUAUAUGCUACUACUGUUUAUUAUUUAACCCUUCCCUUCCAAGUUAAUUUCAUUUACACUAUUCAUGAGGCUACACAGUUUAGUAAAGGGUCCAUUUAAGCAGGAUGAAUUUAACUCACUAAUUUCAGAAUGAAAGCAAAAGCUCUCUGCAUCUAUGCUGAAUUAUUUGACAUAAAUAGCUGUCUUGCUACAGAAAGCAAAUAGAGUACACUCUCCACUAUAAUUAGAAUUAACAUCA